AAAUUAUCACCCUGAUGCAGCACUAAAAUAAUAAGUAAAUAAAAAAAUAUCUUUAAUUGCCCUUUAACAAGGGAACCAUUGCUAAAUAUCCUGAAAUAUUUUCAUAAUUUUGCUCUUUAAAGGGACACUAUAGUCACCAAGACCACUUCAGCUCAAUGAAGUGGUCUGGGUGCCAGGUCCCUCAGGUUUUAACCCUUCACAUGUAAACAUAGCUGUUUGAGAAUAACGGCUAUGUUUACAUUUGGGGUUAAAACAGCCUCUAGUGGCUGUCUUCCGGACAGCCACUAGAGGCGAAUCUGUGACGCUGGAUGAGAAUUUCACCUUCAUCGCGCAGAGCGUCCAUAGGAAAGCAUUGAGAAAUGCUUUCCUAGGGACACUUUGAAUGCGCGCACGGCACUUGCCGCGCAUGCGCAUUAGGCUCCAGUGACGUCGGACAGGGAGGAGAUAAAGGUAAGCUGCUGAAGGGGUUUUAAGCCCUUCAUUGCCACGGGAGGGGGACCCUGAGGGUGGGGGCACCCUCAGGGCACUAUAGUGUCAG
Non-coding RNA from Pelobates cultripes (western spadefoot toad), 538 nucleotides. The record is from the annotation of a GenBank genome assembly. Lineage: Eukaryota; Metazoa; Chordata; Amphibia; Anura; Pelobatidae.